CCUACGGGAGGCUGCAGUCGAGAAUCAUUCACAAUGGGGGAAACCCUGAUGGUGCGACGCCGCGUGGGGGAAUGAAGGUCUUCGGAUUGUAAACCCCUGUCAUGUGGGAGCAAAUUAAAAAGAUAGUACCACAAGAGGAAGAGACGGCUAACUCUGUGCCAGCAGCCGCGGUAAUACAGAGGUCUCAAGCGUUGUUCGGAAUCACUGGGCGUAAAGCGUGCGUAGGCUGUUUCGUAAGUCGUGUGUGAAAGGCGCGGGCUCAACCCGCGGACGGCACAUGAUACUGCGAGACUAGAGUAAUGGAGGGGGAACCGGAAUUCUCGGUAUAGCAGUGAAAUGCGUAGAUAUCGAGAGGAACACUCGUGGCGAAGGCGGGUUCCUGGACAUUAACUGACGCUCAUGCACGAAAGUGUGGGUAUCGAACAGGAUUAGAUACCCGAGUAGUC
This 446-nucleotide ribosomal RNA is filed under the name uncultured bacterium. RNAcentral's name for it is "partial 16S ribosomal RNA". It matches the Rfam family "Bacterial small subunit ribosomal RNA", at positions 338 to 795 of the family's 1533-position model. The record is from RNAcentral.